This 73-nucleotide transfer RNA is filed under the name Saccoglossus kowalevskii. RNAcentral's name for it is "tRNA-Val". Lineage: Eukaryota; Metazoa; Hemichordata; Enteropneusta; Harrimaniidae. The record is from RNAcentral.
GUUUCCGUAGUGUAGUGGAUAUCACGUUCGCCUAACCCGCGAAAGGUCCCUGGUUCGAGCUCAGGCGGAAACA